GCUCCAGAUGUGUGUUCCAGAUGUGAUCCAGGCGUCCCAGUAUGGCGGUGUUCUAUGGGUGGCGGGGCUCCAGAUGUGCUCCAGGUGUGAUUUGUUUUUAUUCUUGUUUUUUUUUUUUAAAUACAUGGUGCUCCAGGAGCAGCGAAGAUGCAGGUUAUGGAGAUGUUGUGGGUCAGGUGGUGCUCCAGAUGUGUGUUCCAGAGGCGCCCCUGGAGCAGCAGCAGUCAGGAUCCGGCUCAUCCCGCCCCGCAAGGAACUUCCCUGUCUCUGCUGCCCAUGCCUGUGGGGUCAGUGGCGUCAGGGAGACUGGGCCGUUGGGUCAUCCAGGAUCACCUUGAAGACGGUGUCAUCAUCGCCGCCGUGUGCCGGGAAAUGCCGCGUGGCAUGGUGCCAUGGGACCACAAAGAGUCGACGCCGCGCAUCCAACCAGUGCAGCCCUGGGAAACGGCCGCUGUCCACCUGGGCCACCAACCAUGGGCGCAGGCGCACGCGGCGAGGCACCGGGGAUGCCAUCGAGGACAGGAGGGGACACCAGCAGAGGUCGUGCGGUGAUGAGAAGGUGACACGGUGCAGGACGUGGUGAGGCACGUGGGGAACUGUGUGAUGCAGUCGUGGAGAUGCCGUGGUUAAUGAUGGGUAUUUGUGGUCAUCCAAUAGGUGCUGUCACCUCUGGUCACCCAUCAUUCAUGGUCAUCUGUCACUUGGGGUCACUUCUGGUCACCUCUGGUCACUGGUCACCCAUGGUUGCUUCUAGUCAUCUAUCACAUCUGGUCAACUUUGGUCACCCAACACUCAUGGUCACCUGUCACUUAUGGUCACUCAUGGUCACCUCUGGUCACCUGUGGUCAUCUGUGACCUCUGCUCAUCCAUGAUCACCCAUGGUCACCUGUCAAGUCACCCAUGGUCACCUCUCACCACCCGCAGUCAUCUGUCACCCAUGAUCACCACUGGUCACUCAUUGGUCAAUUUUGGUCACCCAUCACUCAUGGUCGCCUAUCAACCAUAGUCACGUGUCACCCACAGCCAUCAACGGUCACCCGUGGUCAUUCAUUGUCACCUAUGACAACCUCUGGUCACUCAUGGUUACCUUACACCCAUGGUCACGUUUGGUCACCUAUGACCACCCAACAUCCAUGGUCAUCUGUCACCCAUGGUCACCUCUGAUUGCCCAUGGUCACCUAACCCCCUCCUCAUCUGCCAUUUAUGGUCACCCAGCCACCCAGCUGGUGGUCACCUGUCACCCAUGGCCACCAAUGGUCACCCAUGGUCAUCUGUCACCAUGGUCACCUCUGGUCACCUAUUGCCCAUGGCCACCUGCUACUUAGGGUCUCCCAUGGUCACCUCUGGUCAACCCUGGUCACUCAGCAUCCAAGGUCACUUGUCACUUUUGGUCACCCACAGUCACCUCUGGUCACCCCUAGUCACUCAACACCCAUGGUUGCCUGUCACCCAUUGUCACCCAUGGUCACCUCUGGUCUCCCUCCAUGUGUGCUCUUUAGGGUGACCUGUCCCACCCCACUCAGCCACUUCCGCUCACCCCACAAACCCCACCACCCCAAAAGUGUCACGUGGGUCACACAGUGACAUCAGCCAUCCCUGGGGACACAGGGUGGGGACAACAACAAAAACGGGGACCGAAAGAGGAACUGGUCCCUAUGCCCCAUGGAAAGGAGAAGUGACACCGCAGGGUAGGGUGGGGAGCUGGAGGGGGAUGGGAGACAUGAGGCCAUUGUGCAGCCUCCAUGAAGACCCCAUAAAGCCACCGAGAUGCCAUCUGGAAGCACCCACAAUCCCACUGUGAAGCCCUCCAAGAUGCCAGCAUGAUGCCACCACGAUGUCACCAUGGAGUCCCCCAGGAUGCCACCGCAAUCCCACCAUAAAUUACCCACAAAGACUCCCAGAAGCCACCAUGAAGCCCCCCCAGAUGCCACCAUGAAGCCACCAUGACCCCACCAUGAAGACCCCACUCAAGACCCCACUAUGAAGACACAACAAAGCCACCAUGAAGCCCCCAUAGAUGCCACCACGAAGCCCCCAUAGAUGCCACCACGAAGCCCACCAUGAAGCCCCCCUCCAGGAACCCACCAUGAAGACCCCAUAACCCCUUUGCAGCCCCACAAGAACCCCUCAUGGACCCCUCCCUCCAUUCUCACCCCUCUCCAGCACCCUUCGCUGCUCCCCUCCAAACACGCUUCCUCCCACAUUAGCAUCUCAUUUGCAUACAGCGCGCCACGCCCCCGUUCCGUGACGGGAGAGGUUGGGAGGAGCCUUGCCGCUUUAAGGCGGGCCACACCAACGUGGCCACUUUAAGAAACGCCCCUCCCGCCCCCUGCCUGCAGCGAUUGGCUGCGCUCUCCUCACUCCCGCUCGCUAUUGGUUGAGAGCAGGACUAGGGCGGGUUCUUCCGCUUCCGGUCGCGUUGCUUGGCAUUGAUUGAUUAGUGCUUAAUAUCACUUUUAUUAUUAUCAUCA
Lagopus leucura (white-tailed ptarmigan) is the source of this 2471-nucleotide long non-coding RNA. RefSeq lists it as uncharacterized. The record is from RefSeq and is a predicted model, not a curated record. NCBI's taxonomy places the organism in Eukaryota, Metazoa, Chordata, Aves, Galliformes, Phasianidae. The transcript has 3 exons.